UACGUAGGGGGCAAGCGUUGUCCGGAUUUAUUGGGCGUAAAGAGCGUGUAGGCGGCCAGGCAGGUCCGCUGUGAAAACUCGAGGCUCAACCUCGAGAGGUCGGUGGAAACCGUCUGGCUAGAGUCCGGAAGAGGAGAGUGGAAUUCCCGGUGUAGCGGUGAAAUGCGCAGAUAUCGGGAAGAACACCCGUGGCGAAGGCGGCUCUCUGGGACGGUACUGACACUGAGACGCGAAAGCGUGGGGAGCGAACAGG
This 253-nucleotide ribosomal RNA is filed under the name uncultured bacterium. RNAcentral describes it as "partial 16S ribosomal RNA". It matches the Rfam family "Bacterial small subunit ribosomal RNA", at positions 524 to 776 of the family's 1533-position model. The record is from RNAcentral.